Molecule: long non-coding RNA, 260 nt
Filed under: Musa acuminata (dwarf banana)
Lineage: Eukaryota; Viridiplantae; Streptophyta; Magnoliopsida; Zingiberales; Musaceae
Description: long non-coding RNA (MACU_LNC002959)
Source: RNAcentral
UGUUUCCAUUUCUAAUGAUCUCAAAAGCCCACCGCGACUGAGGAUCCCACGUAGAGCUCGCCUUUCCGUCAUUACAUAUUUACUGAUGGUUGUUGGUUUAACUUUGUCGGUCAUCAACUCUUUUCCUUGUCCCUAUACUGAGGUGAGUAUGCCCGUUGUACUGCGAUGCGUGUCCGAGAAGGACUUGCGAGUCCAUUCAAAAGCGCUCACGAUGUUUAAUACUCACGUUGAAGAGAGCCCAACACCACCGACCUCAGAAG